UUUUUUNAAUAUUUUUCUAUUUUCCCUUGUGUAUCUAUUCCAUGUUGCUUCCACUGAAUAGGUGAUUAGAUAUAGUUGCAAUGUUUUCUCUAUUGAAACUAUUGCAACCAUAUCUAUUUACCCUUCAUACCUUGGUGUGUUUUUUACAUACCAAUGAGGUGUGGAGAAAUGUCAGUGGGUAGCCAUAAUUUUAAAGAGAAUUCUUUCAUAUAUAGUCUGAUAAGAGUUAGAAUAAAGAAAAAAAACUUUCAACAACGGAUCUCUAGGCUCUUGCAUCGAUGAAGAACGCAGUGAAAUGUGAUAAGUAAUGUGAAUUGCAGAAUCUCGUGAAUCAUCGAAUCUUUGAACGCACAUUGCGCCCAAUGGUAUUCCAUUGGGCAUACCUGUUUGAGUAUCAGAAUCCUUUCAAUUAUCAAACUUUUAUAUAUAGAGAUAUAUGUAAAGAUGUUUGGAAAUACAAUUGAGAGAAGUAGUAUUAUUUUAUUUAUAGUAUUACUUUCUUAAAAACUAGAAAUGCUAUGUUUUGAUUUUUCCUCACCUCAUUUUGUAUAUUAUUUAACAAAUGAGUCUGAGUAAAAAUAUACAAUACUUUGGAUGAUCUCAAAUCAGGUAGGGAUACCCGCUGAACUUAAGCAUAUCAAUAAGCGGAGG
This 651-nucleotide ribosomal RNA is filed under the name uncultured fungus. RNAcentral's name for it is "eukaryotic LSU rRNA". The stretch from base 244 to 397 matches the Rfam family "5.8S ribosomal RNA". The record is from RNAcentral. Lineage: Eukaryota; Fungi.